Long non-coding RNA from Oncorhynchus keta (chum salmon), 236 nucleotides. RefSeq lists it as uncharacterized. Lineage: Eukaryota; Metazoa; Chordata; Actinopteri; Salmoniformes; Salmonidae. The record is from RefSeq and is a predicted model, not a curated record. The transcript has 3 exons.
GUUAUAGGGAGAUAAUCAUACCAUCCACUGGCUGUCCACUAGGUUACAGGGAGAUAAUCAUACCAUCCACUGGCUGUCCACUAGGUUAUAGGGAGAUAAUCAUACCAUCCACUGGCUGUCCACUAGGUUAUAGGGAGGUAAUCAUACCAUCCACUGGCUGUCCACUAGGUUAUAGGGAGAUAAUCCUACCAUCCACUGGCUGUCCACUAGGUUAUAGGGAGAUAAUCAUACCGUCC